AUGAAAUCCGGUUGAUCCUGCCGGAGGCGACCGCUAUUGGAGUUCGAUUAAGACAUGCGAGUCAGAGCACUAGCUCGGCAUACCGCUCAGUAACACGUGGGUAACCUGCCCUAUUGUUUCGAAUAACCUCGGGAAACUGAGAACAACACGAGAUAGUCCACUACGCCUGGAACGGUGAGUGGAUAAAGAUAGGAUGGGCCUGCGGCGUAUCAGGUCGUAGGGGGUGUAACGGACCUCCUAGCCAUCGACGCGUACGGGUGUUGGGAGACAUAGCCCGGAGAUGGAUUCUGAGACACGAAUCCAGGCCCUACGGGGCGCAGCAGUUACGAAAACUUGGCAAUGCGGGAAACCGUGACCAGGGAACUCCAAGUGGCUGUCCUUUUGGGCAGUCUUUUCUUGACUCUAAAACGGUCUUGGAAUAAGGGGUGGGUAAGGACGGUGCCAGCCGCCGCGGUAAUACCGGCGCCUCAAGUGGUCGUCGCUUUUAUUGGGCCUAAAACGUCCGUAGCCGGUUUGGUACAUUCGUGGGUAAAUCAGCUCGCUCAACGAGUUGAAUUCUGCGAGGACGGCCAGACUAGGGACCGGGAGAGGUGUGGGGAACUCUCAGGGUAGGGGUAAAAUCCUGUCAUCCUGAGAGGACCACCUGUUGCGAAGGCGCCACACUAGAACGGAUCCGACGGUCAGGGACGAAGCCUAGGGGCACGA
RNAcentral lists this ribosomal RNA (705 nucleotides) under Methanobacteriota archaeon. RNAcentral's name for it is "bacterial SSU rRNA". It matches the Rfam family "Archaeal small subunit ribosomal RNA", at positions 1 to 722 of the family's 1478-position model. Lineage: Archaea; Methanobacteriati; Methanobacteriota. The record is from RNAcentral.